CACGUAGGAGGCGAGCGUUGUCCGGAAUUAUUGGGCGUAAAGCGCGCGCAGGCGGUCCUUUAAGUCUGAUGUGAAAGCCCUCGGCUCAACCGAGGAGGGUCAUUGGAAACUGGAGGACUUGAGUGCAGAAGAGGAAAGUGGAAUUCCAAGUGUAGCGGUGAAAUGCGUAGAGAUUUGGAGGAACACCAGUGGCGAAGGCGACUUUCUGGUCUGUAACUGACGCUGAGGCGCGAAAGCGUGGGGAGCAAACAGG
This 253-nucleotide ribosomal RNA is filed under the name uncultured bacterium. RNAcentral describes it as "partial 16S ribosomal RNA". It matches the Rfam family "Bacterial small subunit ribosomal RNA", at positions 524 to 776 of the family's 1533-position model. The record is from RNAcentral.